UACGAAGGGUGCAAGCGUUACUCGGAAUUACUGGGCGUAAAGCGUGCGUAGGUGGUUUGUUAAGUCUGAUGUGAAAGCCCUGGGCUCAACCUGGGAAUGGCGGUGGAUACUGACAAGCUAGAGUGCGGUAGAGGAGGGUGGAAUUCCCGGUGUAGCGGUGAAAUGCGCAGAUAUCAGGAGGAACACCGGUGGCGAAGGCGGGUCCCUGGGCCGAUACUGACGCUGAGGAGCGAAAGCGUGGGGAGCAAACAGG
This 253-nucleotide ribosomal RNA is filed under the name uncultured bacterium. Its description in RNAcentral is "partial 16S ribosomal RNA". It matches the Rfam family "Bacterial small subunit ribosomal RNA", at positions 524 to 776 of the family's 1533-position model. The record is from RNAcentral.